UACAGUGACGCGCCACCAUGCCCGGCUAAUUUUUGUAUUUUUAGCAGAGACGGGGUUUCACCAUCUUGCCCAGGCUGCUCUUUAACUCCUGACCUCGUGAUCCACCCACCUCGGGCUCCCAAGGUGCUGGGAUUACAGGCGUGAGCCACCGCGCCCGGCCAAAACAAACACUUUUACGACAAUUGAAAAAUAGAAGUUUCCAAUUCAAUUUUGCAACUAAAAAAUAAUAAUAAUGUGGUGCCUUCAUGUUAAACUUUGGAAAAAGCCAGGGAAGUGGCUUGCUCUGGUGAAUAAAUUCUGUAGACCCUUAAGGCUGUUCGCAGCGUACACCAAGACUUCCGAGGCAAGUGGGGGCUCCCCCUGGCGGCUGCGCCGGGUGGCUGCUCCGGGAUUGUGCGGACCUCCGAGCUACACCGUCUCCAACCAACAGAAGCCAGCAGGAACCUGCCUUAGAUGUGGGGAAUGAGACAACACAACUUCUCCCAUAGGCCUGGUGGUCAGAGAGGCUGGAUCAAGAAUCUCCACAGCCCAGCGAGAAGCCACGCGAACACACCCCUGUGUGGGUAUCCG
Molecule: long non-coding RNA, 570 nt
Filed under: Homo sapiens (human)
Lineage: Eukaryota; Metazoa; Chordata; Mammalia; Primates; Hominidae
Description: non-protein coding lnc-FGFR1OP-6:2
Source: RNAcentral